GCCACGUUCGCCCCCAAUACAAAACCCUCCCUCCGCUCCGCCUCUCUUCCUCUCUCUCCUCCUUCCAAACAAAACCCUAGACGUCUCCCGGGCGUGGGAGAUCAGAGGGGUUAUUUUUGAUAUAUUCUGGUCUCGUCUUCGAUCGCCGGAAGCGAUGGAGAUGCCGCAGGACGAUUUGGAUCGGCUCGUCUUCUUCGAGCAUGCCCGCAAGUCCGCCGAGGCCGCCUACGCCAAGAACCCCCUCGAUGCCGACAAUCUAACACGGUGGGGAGGCGCGCUUAUCGAGCUAUCACAAUUU
This is a non-coding RNA of Phoenix dactylifera (date palm), 298 nucleotides long. Lineage: Eukaryota; Viridiplantae; Streptophyta; Magnoliopsida; Arecales; Arecaceae. The record is from RefSeq and is a predicted model, not a curated record.